Molecule: ribosomal RNA, 380 nt
Filed under: uncultured eukaryote
Lineage: Eukaryota
Description: partial 18S ribosomal RNA
Rfam family: Eukaryotic small subunit ribosomal RNA
Source: RNAcentral
CAAUAGCGUAUAUUAAAGUUGUUGCAGUUAAAAAGCUCGUAGUCGGAUUUUGGCAUCACGCCGCACUGUCUGCCGAUUGGUAAGUACGGUUUGGCGGUUGCUUCCUUCCGGUGCUGUAUGCUGCUCUUAAUUGAGCGGUAUGCUAGUUCCGGUUCAUUUACUUUGAGAAAAUUAGAGUGUUCAAAGCAGGCCUAUGCUCUGAAUAGGUUAGCAUGGAAUAAUAGAAUAGGACUUUGGUUCUAUUUUGUUGGUUUCUAGGACCGAAGUAAUGAUUAAUAGGGACAGUUGGGGGCAUUCAUAUUCCAUUGUCAGAGGUGAAAUUCGUGGAUUAACGGAAGAUGAACUUCUGCGAAAGCAUCUGCCAAGGAUGUUUUCAUUGA